UGUUCACUCAUAUUUUCAUGGUUCCUGAGAUCAGAUUUUUGAAGAAUAAAAAAUCAAUCAACGAGGAAUUUUUUCAAUGUUCUAUUGUUGUUAAUGCUAGAUUUGUUGAAUAAAUGUUCUGGGUAAAAUAUUAAAGUAAACAAAAUAAAAGUUAAUUUGAUCGAAUUUGUUGCAAGCUACGAAUACAUUCUUGCCUUUAGAUAGUAGUUAACAUUUCCCGCAACUCCCUGCAGAUGCAUGAACUUUUCAAUUUUCU
Bradysia coprophila is the source of this 256-nucleotide long non-coding RNA. Lineage: Eukaryota; Metazoa; Arthropoda; Insecta; Diptera; Sciaridae. The record is from RefSeq and is a predicted model, not a curated record.